GAUGAACGCUAGCGGCAGGCCUAAUACAUGCAAGUCGAACGAUAGUGAGAAGCUUGCUUCUCACGAAAGUGGCGCACGGGUGCGUAACGCGUAUGCAACCUACCUUAAUCAGGGGGAUAGCCCGAAGAAAUUCGGAUUAACACCGCAUAAAAUCACAGUAUAGCAUUAUACAAUGAUCAAAUAUUUAUAGGAUUAAGAUGGGCAUGCGUGACAUUAGUUAGUUGGCGGGGUAACGGCCCACCAAGACCACGAUGUCUAGGGGAUCUGAGAGGAUGACCACCCGCGCUGGUACUGAGACACGGACCAGACUCCUACGGGAGGCAGCAGUAAGGAAUAUUGGUCAAUGGAGGCAACUCUGAACCAGCCAUGCCGCGUGCAGGAAGACAGCCCUCUGGGUCGUAGACUGCUUUUAUUCGGGAAUAAACCUAUCUACGUGUAGAUAGCUGAAUGUACCGAAGGAAUAAGGAUCGGCUAACUCCGUGCCAGCAGCCGCCGUAA
Molecule: ribosomal RNA, 498 nt
Filed under: uncultured bacterium
Lineage: Bacteria
Description: partial 16S ribosomal RNA
Rfam family: Bacterial small subunit ribosomal RNA
Source: RNAcentral